RNAcentral lists this ribosomal RNA (203 nucleotides) under Proboscia inermis. Its description in RNAcentral is "partial Trypanosomatid mitochondrial large subunit ribosomal RNA". The record is from RNAcentral. Lineage: Eukaryota; Bacillariophyta; Melosirophyceae; Probosciales; Probosciaceae.
CUAUGGAACUUAUAUGAGACAUGCUAACUACACUUCAUAUUCAAAUGCAACUUGAAAGAAUUCGAAUGGUUCCCUAAAGGUCUUACAAACCUACGUUUGCCCAUUCAAGAUACACAUGUUCAACAUUUAAUUCAUGACCGUAUAUAACUGGUUUUGUGCAAAAUUGCCUUGGGAGAUUCAGAUAAAUAACUUUUAGAAGCCAU